RNAcentral lists this ribosomal RNA (443 nucleotides) under uncultured bacterium. Its description in RNAcentral is "SSU rRNA". It matches the Rfam family "Bacterial small subunit ribosomal RNA", at positions 26 to 518 of the family's 1533-position model. The record is from RNAcentral.
AGAGCGAACGCUGGCGGCAGGCUUAACACAUGCAAGUCGAGCGCCCCGCAAGGGGAGCGGCAGACGGGAGAGUAACACGUGGGAACGUACCUUUCGGUUCGGAACAACCCAGGGAAACUUGGGCUAAUACCGGAUACGUCCGUAAGGAGAAAGAUUUAUCGCCGAAAGAUCGGCCCGCGUCUGAUUAGCUAGUUGGUGAGGUAACGGCUCACCAAGGCGACGAUCAGUAGCUGGUCUGAGAGGAUGAUCAGCCUCACUGGGACUGAGACACGGCCCAGACUCCUACGGGAGGCAGCAGUGGGGAAUAUUGGACAAUGGGCGCAAGCCUGAUCCAGCCAUGCCGCGUGGGUGAUGAAGGCCCUAGGGUUGUAAAGCCCGUUUCGGCGGGGAAGAUAAUGACGGUACCGCAGAAGAAGCCCGGCUAACUUCGUGCCAGCAGCCGC